Molecule: ribosomal RNA, 460 nt
Filed under: uncultured bacterium
Lineage: Bacteria
Description: SSU rRNA
Rfam family: Bacterial small subunit ribosomal RNA
Source: RNAcentral
AGAAUCAACGCUGGCGGCGUGCCUAACACAUGCAAGUCGAACGAGAAAGUGGAGCAAUCCAUUAGUAAAGUGGCGCACGGGUGAGUAACACGUGACUAACCUACCCUUGAGUGGGGGAUAACCUAGGGAAACCUGGGCUAAUACCGCAUAAUACCUUCGGGUCAAAGGAGCAAUUCGCUUAAGGAGGGGGUCGCGGCCGAUUAGUUAGUUGGCGGGGUAAUGGCCCACCAAGACUAUGAUCGGUAUCCGGCCUGAGAGGGCGCACGGACACACUGGAACUGAAACACGGUCCAGACUCCUACGGGAGGCAGCAGUGGGGAAUUUUGCGCAAUGGGGGAAACCCUGACGCAGCAACGCCGCGUGGAGGAUGAAGCCCCUUGGGGCGUAAACUCCUUUCGAUCGGGACGAUAAUGACGGUACCGAGAGAAGAAGCCCCGGCUAACUUCGCGCCAGCAGCCGC